Molecule: ribosomal RNA, 301 nt
Filed under: uncultured bacterium
Lineage: Bacteria
Description: partial 16S ribosomal RNA
Rfam family: Bacterial small subunit ribosomal RNA
Source: RNAcentral
CAGUCGCCGCGGUAAUACGAAGGUCCCGAGCGUUGUUCGGAAUCACUGGGCGUAAAGGGAGCGUAGGCGGCGUGGUAAGUCAGAUGUGAAAUCCCGGGGCUCAACCCCGGAACUGCAUCCGAUACUGCCGUGCUAGAGGAUUGGAGAGGUAGCUGGAAUUCUUGGUGUAGCAGUGAAAUGCGUGGAGAUCAAGAGGAACACUCGUGGCGAAAGCGAGCUACUGGACAAUAUCCGACGCUGAGGCUCGAAGGCCAGGGUAGCGAAAGGGAUUAGAUACCCCUGUAGUCCCUGUCUCUUAUAC